Molecule: ribosomal RNA, 458 nt
Filed under: uncultured bacterium
Lineage: Bacteria
Description: partial 16S ribosomal RNA
Rfam family: Bacterial small subunit ribosomal RNA
Source: RNAcentral
CCUACGGGUGGCAGCAGUUGGGAAUCUUGCACAAUGGGGUAAACCCUGAUGCAGCGACGCCUCGUGAGUGAAGAAGCGUUUCGGCGCGUAAAGCUCUUUCAGCGGGGAAGAAACACGGUUCGCGAGAGCCGCGGACGGUCCCCGACCAAGAAGCCCCGGCUAACUACGUGCCAGCAGCCGCGGUACUACGUAGGGGGCAAGCGUUAGCCGGAUUCACUGGGUGUAAAGGGAGCGUAGACGGCGAGACAAGUCUGGAGUGAAAGGCCGGGGCCGCACCCCGGGACUGCUUGGGAAACGGCCUGGCUGGAGUACAGGAGAGGUAAGUGGAAUUCCUAGUGUAGCGGUGAAAUGCGUAGAUAUUAGGAGGAACACCAGUGGCGAAGGCGGCUUACUGGACUGUAACUGACGUUGAGGCUCGAAAGCGUGGGGAGCAAACAGGAUUAGAUACCCCGGUAGUC